UACGUAGGGGGCUAGCGUUGUCCGGAUUUAUUGGGCGUAAAGAGCGUGUAGGCGGCCAGGUAGGUCUGCUGUGAAAACUCGAGGCUCAACCUCGAGACGUCGGCGGAAACCAUCUGGCUAGAGUCCGGAAGAGGAGGGUGGAAUUCCUGGUGUAGCGGUGAAAUGCGCAGAUAUCAGGAAGAACACCCGUGGCGAAGGCGGCUCUCUGGGACGGUACUGACGCUGAGACGCGAAAGCGUGGGGAGCGAACAGG
This 253-nucleotide ribosomal RNA is filed under the name uncultured bacterium. Its description in RNAcentral is "partial 16S ribosomal RNA". It matches the Rfam family "Bacterial small subunit ribosomal RNA", at positions 524 to 776 of the family's 1533-position model. The record is from RNAcentral.